Molecule: non-coding RNA, 71 nt
Organism: Heligmosomoides polygyrus
Lineage: Eukaryota; Metazoa; Nematoda; Chromadorea; Rhabditida; Heligmosomidae
Source: Rfam
GCGCCGGUGGUGUAAGGCGAACAUCGCUGCCCGGAAAGCAGAAAAUGCGGGUUCGAGUCCCGCCUGGCGCA